GGGCCGUUAGCUCACCUGGUAGAGCGCAACUAUGGCAUAGUUGAGGUAGCCGGUUCGAGUCCGGCACGGUCCACCA
Molecule: transfer RNA, 76 nt
Filed under: Candidatus Collierbacteria bacterium
Lineage: Bacteria; Candidatus Collieribacteriota
Description: tRNA-Ala
Rfam family: tRNA
About the family: Transfer RNA (tRNA) molecules are approximately 80 nucleotides in length. Their secondary structure includes four short double-helical elements and three loops (D, anti-codon, and T loops). Further hydrogen bonds mediate the characteristic L-shaped molecular structure. tRNAs have two regions of fundamental functional importance: the anti-codon, which is responsible for specific mRNA codon recognition, and the 3' end, to which the tRNAs corresponding amino acid is attached (by aminoacyl-tRNA synthetases). tRNAs cope with the degeneracy of the genetic code in two manners: having more than one tRNA (with a specific anti-codon) for a particular amino acid; and 'wobble' base-pairing, i.e. permitting non-standard base-pairing at the 3rd anti-codon position.
Source: RNAcentral